This 89-nucleotide non-coding RNA is filed under the name Anaerocolumna xylanovorans. RNAcentral's name for it is "c-di-GMP sequence". It matches the Rfam family "c-di-GMP-I riboswitch aptamer". Rfam says of the family: GEMM was predicted in a large-scale screen for bacterial structured RNA regulatory elements. RNAcentral also lists the same sequence under 1 other name. Lineage: Bacteria; Bacillati; Bacillota; Clostridia; Lachnospirales; Lachnospiraceae. The record is from RNAcentral.
CACCGAUAAAGGCAAAACCAGUGAAAGCUGGUGACGCAAAGCUAUAGGGUCUUCCCCAGAGAUAAAUGGGAUGACAGCCAGUUACCGAA